Molecule: ribosomal RNA, 497 nt
Filed under: uncultured bacterium
Lineage: Bacteria
Description: partial 16S ribosomal RNA
Rfam family: Bacterial small subunit ribosomal RNA
Source: RNAcentral
GAUGAACGCUGGCGGCGUGCCUAAUACAUGCAAGUCGAGCGAACGGACGAGAAGCUUGCUUCUCUGAUGUUAGCGGCGGACGGGUGAGUAACACGUGGAUAACCUACCUAUAAGACUGGGAUAACUUCGGGAAACCGGAGCUAAUACCGGAUAAUAUUUUGAACCGCAUGGUUCAAAAGUGAAAGACGGUCUUGCUGGCACUUAUAGAUGGAUCCGCGCUGCAUUAGCUAGUUGGUAAGGUAACGGCUUACCAAGGCAACGAUGCAUAGCCGACCUGAGAGGGUGAUCGGCCACACUGGAACUGAGACACGGUCCAGACUCCUACGGGAGGCAGCAGUAGGGAAUCUUCCGCAAAGGGCGAAAGCCUGACGGAGCAACGCCGCGUGAGUGAUGAAGGUCUUCGGAUCGUAAAACUCUGUUAUUAGGGAAGAACAUAUGUGUAAGUAACUGUGCACACCUUGACGGUACCUAAUCAGAAAGCCACGGCUAACUACGUG